This 2097-nucleotide ribosomal RNA is filed under the name Deltaproteobacteria bacterium CG06_land_8_20_14_3_00_44_19. RNAcentral's name for it is "bacterial LSU rRNA". It matches the Rfam family "Bacterial large subunit ribosomal RNA", at positions 1 to 1964 of the family's 2925-position model. The record is from RNAcentral. Lineage: Bacteria; Deltaproteobacteria.
GUUUUAUGGUCAAGCUACUAAGGGCAUACGGUGGAUGCCUUGGUGUCAGGAGGCGAUGAAAGACGUGGUAAGCUGCGAUAAGCUUCGGGGAGCCGCUAAACAGGCUUAGAUCCGGAGACCUCUGAAUGGGAAAACCCAUCCCGAGUAAUUUCGGGGUAUCCCGUCAUGAAUACAUAGUGGCGGGAGGCGAACGAGGGGAACUGAAACAUCUCAGUACCUUCAGGAAAAGAAAUCAAUCGAGAUUCCCUGAGUAGUGGCGAGCGAAAGGGGAUGAGCCUAAAUCCCGUAUAUGUUAAAGCCUGUGAGCGUUGUAUACGGGAGGUAACGGGUUCUUAUCGGAAGUCCUCACAGGGACUUCGGGGAGAAUCCACUUCCAUAGUCGAAGGAGCUGGAAAGCUCUGCCGUAGAAGGUGAUAGACCUGUAGACGAAAUGGAAUUGGAAUCCCUGGAUAGGAUACCCAAGUACCACGGGACACGGGAAAUCCUGUGGGAAUUCGGGAGGACCAUCUUCCAAGGCUAAAUACUACCUGGCAACCGAUAGUGAACUAGUACCGUGAGGGAAAGGUGAAAAGAACCCCGAUGAGGGGAGUGAAAUAGUACCUGAAACCGUAUGCUUACAAGCAGUGGGAGGACGUUGGGUUAGUUGAAGGUUCGCCUCUAGCUAAUCCUGUCUGACUGCGUGCCUUUUGCAUAAUGAGCCUGCGAGUUACUCUAUGUGGCGAGGUUAAUUCCUCAAGAGGAAGGAGCCGCAGCGAAAGCGAGUCUUAAAAGGGCGAUUUAGUCGCAUGGAGUAGACCCGAAACCAAGUGAUCUAUCCAUGGCCAGGGUGAAAUUCGCGUAAUGGCGAAUGGAGGCCCGAACCGGUGAAGGUUGAAAACUUCUCGGAUGAGUUGUGGAUCGGAGUGAAAGGCUAAUCAAACUUGGAGAUAGCUGGUUCUCCCCGAAAUAUAUUUAGGUAUAGCCUCAGGACAUUCGCUAACGGAGGUAGAGCACUGGAUGGGCUAGGGGUCCUACCAGAUUACCAAACCCAACCAAACUUCGAAUGCCGUUAAGCGUUAUCUUGGGAGUCAGCCCGUGGGAGAUAACUUCCGUGGACGAGAGGGGAACAUCCCAGACCGUCAGCUAAGGUCCCUAAAAUGUGCUAAGUGGGAAAGGAUGUGGAAACGCUCAGACAGCCAGGAGGUUGGCUUAGAAGCAGCCAUCCUUUAAAGAAAGCGUAAUAGCUCACUGGUCAAGUGGGUCUGCGCCAAAAAUGUAACGGGGCUUAAGCACAUUACCGAAGCUACGGACCCCGUGGAAUAUGAAAAUUACUCCACAGGGUGGUAGGGGAGCAUUCCAUCAUAGAGCGAAGGGUGACCGUGAGGACACCUGGACGAAAUGGAAGGGAUCAUGCAGGCACGAGUAGCGAUAAUGCUGAUGAGAAACCAGCACGCCGUAAACCUAAGGUUUCCUGAGCAAGGUUAAUCCUCUCAGGGUUAGUCGAUCCCUAAGCCGAGGCUGAGAAGCGUAGGUGAUGGGAAACAGGUUAAUAUUCCUGUACCACCGGGUUGGCGUUUGAGCGAUGAGGGGGUGCAGAAGGGUAGGUCAUCCAGGUGUUGGAUGUCCUGGUUCAAGCCCGUAGGUGGGAACUUUUGGUAAGUCCGGAGUUCCAAUUAUAAACACCGAGAGGUGAUGACGUUUUCGAGUAAUCGGAAGCAAGUGACUGAGCCCAUGCUGACAAGAAAAGCCUCUAGCAAGUCAAUCAGGUGAUCGUACCGCAAACCGACUCAGGUAGGUGGGGAGAAUAUCCCAAGGCGCUUGAGAGAACCCUGGUUAAGGAACUCGGCACACUAACACCGUAACUUCGGAAGAAGGUGUGUCAUGAUCUGUGAAGGGACUUGCUCCCGGAGCAGAUUGUGAUCGCAGUGAAAUGGGGGUGGCGACUGUUUACUAAAAACACAGGAGUCUGCUAAGUCGAAAGACGAUGUAUAGGCUCUGACGCCUGCCCGGUGCUGGAAGGUUAAGGGGAUUCGUCAUGUUGUAGCAAUACGACAGAAGCGUUGAACCGAAGCCCCAGUAAACGGCGGCCGUAACUAUAACGGUCCUAAGGUAGCGAAA